This 83-nucleotide transfer RNA is filed under the name Schistocephalus solidus. It matches the Rfam family "tRNA". Rfam says of the family: Transfer RNA (tRNA) molecules are approximately 80 nucleotides in length. Their secondary structure includes four short double-helical elements and three loops (D, anti-codon, and T loops). The record is from Rfam by way of RNAcentral. Lineage: Eukaryota; Metazoa; Platyhelminthes; Cestoda; Diphyllobothriidea; Diphyllobothriidae.
UGUCUCGUAGCUCAGUUGGUUAGAGUGUUGGUUGUACAUAAACCUUCUCCUUACUGACGUGGGUUCGAAUCCCACUGAGGUCA